AGCUCUGGGCCUGGGGAGCUGACUCCAGGGCAUGCAUUGCUCAGAGAUGCCCUGGAGGAAGUUGGAAGCAAUCAGGCCUUAGACGGAGAAUCAGGAAAAGGUGAAGGGACCAGGACAGCUGAGCGGAGAUGACAGGGCUCCAGAAGGAUGGGCUGUCCCGUCACCUGGGGUUGAAGAGCACUGGCAGAGGCCCUGUGAGACAGCUCCACUUGAAAAGGGACACCCAGGAUGGGACCCACACAGGAAAACAGACCAAGGUGUCCACAGGUGUGCCAGGUCUGUCCAAAGGCAGUUGGCAGAGACCAGUUACACCAAGUGGCCAGGAAGAGAAAGGAAAGCAGGAGCGACCCACAGCAGACGGUCAAGAACAUGAAUGUGAACACAGGAGCCCGAGGAGCAGCCACACUUGCCUAGACGUGGCAGAACCAGGGAGGCCGAGGUCAGGCCGGGGAACGGUGGGCAGAGGAGGUCGCUUGGCUUGGUUUUAUAGUGGGGUUUUCAUGGUAUUUAUCAUAAUAAACCUUCAUGUUAAGGCACAAAAUGUGAGAUUCUCACUUUAGGGAGGGCAGUCUGCUUUACUCUACAGAUUAAACAUUACCUUGUCCAAAGCACCCUGACAGAAACACCCAGGAUCAUGUUUCACCAAAUAUCUGGGCACCCCAUGACCUGGUCAUGUUGACAAAAAGUUAGCCAUCACACAAGCAUGAUAACCAUUAUUAAUAUUUUGAUAAAUGAAAAUGGAGGUUAUAUAUUGUUUUGCAUCUUGCUUUGUGAGGAGGAAAGCAAUAUCAUAAGAAUUAUGUUUUGUUGAUUUGGGAUUUUUUUAAAUUGUUUUUUUUCUAGUUUUUUUUAAGUGAAAAAUUUCAGACAUACAGAAAAGUUGAAAGAAUGCUAUGUGAAAACCUAGCCAUCUGUCUGUGCCUAUGUAUGUGUAUAUAUAUAUAUGAAAUGUGUGUUGAUGUAUAUAU
This 968-nucleotide long non-coding RNA is filed under the name Equus asinus (donkey). RNAcentral describes it as "lncRNA (ENSEASG00005001960.2)". The record is from RNAcentral. Lineage: Eukaryota; Metazoa; Chordata; Mammalia; Perissodactyla; Equidae.